GGGGAAUUUUCCGCAAUGGGCGCAAGCCUGACGGAGCAAUACCGCGUGCGGGAGGAAGGCUUUUGGGUCGUAAACCGCUUUUAUUGGGGAAGAAGAUCUGACGGUACCCAAUGAAUCAGCAUCGGCUAACUCCGUGCCAGCAGCCGCGGUAAUACGGAGGAUGCAAGCGUUAUCCGGAAUUAUUGGGCGUAAAGCGUCCGCAGGUGGCUGGUCAAGUCUGCUGUUAAAGCGUAGAGCUUAACUCUAUAUCGGCAGUGGAAACUGGACAGCUAGAGUACGGUAGGGGUAGCGGGAAUUCCCAGUGUAGCGGUGAAAUGCGUAGAUAUUGGGAAGAACACCAGCGGCGAAAGCGCGCUACUGGGCCUGUACUGACACUGAGGGACGAAAGCUAGGGGAGCGAAAGGGAUUAGAUACCCCUGUAGUCCUAGCUGUAAACGAUGGAUACUAGGUGUUGCGCGUAUCGACCCGUGCAGUGCCGUAGCUAACGCGUUAAGUAUCCCGCCUGGGGAGUACGCACGCAAGUGUGAAACUCAAAGGAAUUGACGGGGGCCCGCACAAGCGGUGGAGUAUGUGGUUUAAUUCGAUGCAACGCGAAGAACCUUACCAGGGCUUGACAUGUCGCGAACCUUGAUGAAAGUUGAGGGUGCCUACGGGAGCGCGAACACAGGUGGUGCAUGGCUGUCGUCAGCUCGUGUCGUGAGAUGUUGGGUUAAGUCCCGCAACGAGCGCAACCCACGUCCUUAGUUGCCAGCAUUCAGUUGGGCACUCUGGGGAGACUGCCGGUGACAAACCGGAGGAAGGUGUGGAUGACGUCAAGUCAUCAUGCCCCUUACGUCCUGGGCUACACACGUACUACAAUGCUAUGGACAAAGAGCUGCGAGACCGCGAGGUUCAGCUAAUCUCAUAAACCAUGGCACAGUUCAGAUUGCAGGCUGCAACUCGCCUGCAUGAAGGCGGAAUCGCUAGUAAUCGCAGGUCAGCAUACUGCGGUGAAUACGUUCCCGGGCCUUGUACACACCGCCCGUCACACCAUGGAAGUUGGCCACGCCCGAAGUCGUUACUCCAACCGCAAGGAGGGGGAUGCCGAAGGCAGGGCUGAUGACUGGGGUGAAGUCGUAACAAGGUAGCCGUACCGGAAGGUGUGGCUGGAUCACCUCCUUUUAGGGAGACCUAACCCAGAGUGUUGAGUAAAAAUGUAAUGACCAACACUGUGAGGUCCACCUAGGUCGGUCAAAGGGUCUUUAUCGAUGGUUCUCAAACUAAUCUAGGUAAGGGAGCAUGGGCUAUUAGCUCAGGUGGUUAGAGCGCACCCCUGAUAAGGGUGAGGUCCCUGGUUCGAGUCCAGGAUGGCCCACCUUGGGGGUUUAGCUCAGUUGGUAGAGCGCCUGCUUUGCAAGCAGGAUGUCAGCAGUUCGAGUCUGCUAACCUCCACUGGAGUGAAGAACUCCGAGUUGUUAGGUCAAGGCAUGUAGCACCUUGUUGGGGGAUGGGAACAUCGAACCUGAAAGGCUGCUAGGUGUAAAUCCUAGCGAGAACCUUGAAAACUGCAUAGUCAUAGAAGUCAGGUAGAAGUAGCGAUUGUUGAGAGACGAUUGUUAUGACACAGACACCAAAAGAGAGAUAAAAGAACGUGGUCAAGCUACGAAGGGCUCAUGGUGGAUACCUAGGCACACAGAG
RNAcentral lists this unclassified non-coding RNA (1677 nucleotides) under Arthronema sp. N16-MA9. Its description in RNAcentral is "bacterial SSU rRNA". The stretch from base 1 to 1161 matches the Rfam family "Bacterial small subunit ribosomal RNA", at positions 356 to 1533 of the family's 1533-position model. The record is from RNAcentral. Lineage: Bacteria; Bacillati; Cyanobacteriota; Cyanophyceae; Leptolyngbyales; Leptolyngbyaceae.